CCUACGGGAGGCAGCAGUAGGGAAUCUUUCACAAUGGGCGAAAGCCGGAUGGAGCAACGCCGCGUGCAGGAUGAAGGCCUUCGGGUUGUAAACUGCUUUUAUAAGCGAGAAAUAUGAUGGUAACUUAUGAAUCAGGAUCGGUUAACUACGUGCCAGCAGCCGCGGUCAUACGUAGGAUCCGAGCAUUAUCCGGAGUGACUGGGUGUAAAGAGUUGCGUAGGUGGCAUAAUAAGUAGCUAGUGAAAUCUGGUGGCUCAACCAUUCAGACUAUUAGCUAAACUGUUAAGCUCGAGACCGUUAGGGGCAUCUGGAAUUUCUAGUGUAGGAGUGAAAUCCGUAGAUAUUAGAAGGAACACCAAUAGCGUAGGCAGGAUGCUGGGACGGUUCUGACACUAAGGCACGAAAGCGUAGGGAGCAAACAGGAUUAGAUACCCCAGUAGUC
RNAcentral lists this ribosomal RNA (442 nucleotides) under uncultured bacterium. Its description in RNAcentral is "partial 16S ribosomal RNA". It matches the Rfam family "Bacterial small subunit ribosomal RNA", at positions 338 to 795 of the family's 1533-position model. The record is from RNAcentral.